AUUGAACGCUGGCGGCAUGCCUUACACAUGCAAGUCGAACGGUAACAGGCCGCAAGGUGCUGACGAGUGGCGAACGGGUGAGUAAUGUAUCGGAACGUGCCCAGUCGUGGGGGAUAACUGCUCGAAAGAGCAGCUAAUACCGCAUACGACCUGAGGGUGAAAGCGGGGGAUCGCAAGACCUCGCGCGAUUGGAGCGGCCGAUAUCAGAUUAGGUAGUUGGUGGGGUAAAGGCCCACCAAGCCAACGAUCUGUAGCUGGUCUGAGAGGACGACCAGCCACACUGGGACUGAGACACGGCCCAGACUCCUACGGGAGGCAGCAGUGGGGAAUUUUGGACAAUGGACGCAAGUCUGAUCCAGCCAUGCCGCGUGCGGGAAGAAGGCCU
This 385-nucleotide ribosomal RNA is filed under the name uncultured bacterium. RNAcentral's name for it is "bacterial SSU rRNA". It matches the Rfam family "Bacterial small subunit ribosomal RNA", at positions 29 to 417 of the family's 1533-position model. The record is from RNAcentral.